RNAcentral lists this ribosomal RNA (555 nucleotides) under Cafeteria roenbergensis. RNAcentral's name for it is "eukaryotic LSU rRNA". It matches the Rfam family "Eukaryotic large subunit ribosomal RNA", at positions 672 to 1215 of the family's 3401-position model. The record is from RNAcentral. Lineage: Eukaryota; Bigyra; Bicosoecida; Cafeteriaceae.
AGUCUGACAUGGUGUGCAAGUACUCCGGUGUAAAACCGCUGUGCGUAAUGAAAGUACAGGUUCGCCUUCGGGCGGCCGAGAUGGGACCUUCGGGGCACCAUCGACCGGUCUGUGGGCCACGGUUCACGGGCUGCGUCUGAGCAGAUAUGUUGGGACCCGAAAGAUGGUGAACUAUGCCUGGGUAGGGCGAAGCCAGGGGAAACCCUGGUGGAGGCUCGAAGCGAUUCUGACGUGCAAAUCGAUCGUCAAACCUGGGUAUAGGGGCGAAAGACUAAUCGAACCAUCUAGUAGCUGGUUCCCUCCGAAAUUUCCCUUAGGAUAGCUGCAACUGUAUCCAGUUUUAUCAGGUAAAGCGAAUGAUUAGAGGAUUCAGGGCCGGAAUGGCCUUGACCUAUUCUCAAACUUUAAAUGGGUAAGAAGGGAGGCCUUGCUUAUAUGAAGGCCUCUCGCGAAUGGAAGUUGUUAGUGGGCCACAGCAGGUAAGCUGCUGCGGCGAUGCGGGAUGAACCGAACCGUGGUGUUAAAGCGCCGGACUGUCCGCUCAUCAGAUCCCAA